Molecule: long non-coding RNA, 375 nt
Organism: Hipposideros armiger (great roundleaf bat)
Lineage: Eukaryota; Metazoa; Chordata; Mammalia; Chiroptera; Hipposideridae
Exons: 3
Source: RefSeq, a predicted model, not a curated record
AAUAAGGAAAGUUUAAAACUCGAUGACUAGCAUUGAUAAUAUGGGCCUUGACUUUGAUAUGCACUUCUAAUCUUGGACUGUGUGUUUUGGGGCCUAUCUGAUGAGAUCUGUUUGGAGCAGCUCACACUGGAAGCAGGACAUGAAAUCCAGCAUGAAAUCCACCAACCCAAAUUUGAUCCCACGGCUGACUCCAAAAUCCAGUUUUAUAACUCUGCAAGACUAUGGCAAUAACAGUCUUCUUUGCAGUAAAUAUGUAUUGCUAUCUAUAUUGUAAACUGUAAUAUUUCUUUUUGUUCUGGGCCUACAUUAGAUAGGUAGUAAAUAUUUAAUAAUUUUGUUACCUAUCUUGUAGACUCAUGUUACACUGAUUUUAUA